GAAGCCUUAGCUUAAUGAAAGUGUCUGAUUUGCAUUCAGAAGAUGUGAGUUGAUGUCUUACAGGUUUUA
This 69-nucleotide transfer RNA is filed under the name Puntius titteya (cherry barb). RNAcentral describes it as "tRNA-Ala". It matches the Rfam family "tRNA". Rfam says of the family: Transfer RNA (tRNA) molecules are approximately 80 nucleotides in length. Their secondary structure includes four short double-helical elements and three loops (D, anti-codon, and T loops). The record is from RNAcentral. Lineage: Eukaryota; Metazoa; Chordata; Actinopteri; Cypriniformes; Cyprinidae.